Molecule: ribosomal RNA, 301 nt
Filed under: uncultured bacterium
Lineage: Bacteria
Description: partial 16S ribosomal RNA
Rfam family: Bacterial small subunit ribosomal RNA
Source: RNAcentral
CAGUAGCCGCGGUAAUACGUAGGUGGCGAGCGUUGUACGGAUUUAUUGGGCGUAAAGGGAGUGUAGGCGGUCUUUUAAGUCUGAUGUGAAAGCCCACGGCUCAACCGUGGAGGGUCAUUGGAAACUGGGAGACUUGAGUGCAGAAGAGGAGAGCGGAAUUCCAUGUGUAGCGGUGAAAUGCGUAGAGAUGUAGAGAAACACCAGUGGCGAAGGCGACUCUCUGGUCCGUAACUGACGCUGAGGAGCGAAAGCGUGGGAAGCGAACAGGAUUAGAUACCCCAGUAGUCCCUGUCUCUUAUAC